Molecule: unclassified non-coding RNA, 472 nt
Filed under: Hevea brasiliensis (rubber tree)
Lineage: Eukaryota; Viridiplantae; Streptophyta; Magnoliopsida; Malpighiales; Euphorbiaceae
Source: RNAcentral
GUUGCUGUUGCUGCUGCUGCUGCUUUUGGUACUGUUGCUGUUGUUGUUGAUAGUAAGCCAUGUAAUGGUGGUGUUGCUGUGGAUACAUCAUCAUCUGCUGCUGCAUCAUCACCAUAGCCGCCGCCGGAUACUGCAUAGCCGCCAUCCACUGCUGCUGCUGCUGAAGAUGGGGCGGCAUAUGUGGGAGCCAUUGCUGCUGCCGCUGAUUCUGAUGUGGUUGUUGCUGUUGCUGCUGCUGAGGCGUCGGCGGCGUCGGCAGUGCUGAGUUCAGAUCAGGACCGUUGCUUUGCUGCAUAUUGAUCUGAUGAGUUAUAAACCCCUCCUCUUCUUUUCCUCUUGUCUUCUUCUUCUCCCCUCCCAGCGUUCAAUUUCCAGUAGAGAAGGAGACAGAGGAGAGGAGAGGCUGCAAAAGAAGGAUGAGGGUAGACAACUGUUUGAUAUUUAAAGGAAGUGCGCUUCUGGGCUCUUUUUU